GGGACACCAGUUGGCAGCAGAGUUCCCAGUCUCCAUAUCUGAGAAAAGCUAGCUCACAGACCUGUACUGAUUACCCAGUCAAGAUUCAUGUGCUGUCUGCUACCUGCAGCAUCUGUCUUCCUUCCAACGAUAUGCAGUUAACAUGCGUCUUUCCAAUGUUGAACACAAGAACCAGGGAUUCACAAGUGCUCUCUGCCUGAGCCCCAGCCCCAGCCACAGCUCUCAUUCCUUUUAAGGAAAUGAGAAUCGGAGGACAGGAUGUGAACUGCCGAGGGCACAGGCUAAACUCCUAACUUGGUCCUGGCUGUUUUGUAAGCCAUCACAUUCCUCUGCUAUACUCUAGCACACUACUGAAAUCUUCAAGAGAUUCCGUGAACUGUGGGAGAGCUAGGAAACCCAAUCAUUUUACCCUCUUUGAAAUACUAAUGUGCACUCCCUGCUUUGAGAAGUGA
This is a non-coding RNA of Myodes glareolus (Bank vole), 452 nucleotides long. The record is from RefSeq and is a predicted model, not a curated record. Lineage: Eukaryota; Metazoa; Chordata; Mammalia; Rodentia; Cricetidae.